CUAAGAAGGAAUGAAGUAUCAA
Molecule: unclassified non-coding RNA, 22 nt
Filed under: Mus musculus (house mouse)
Lineage: Eukaryota; Metazoa; Chordata; Mammalia; Rodentia; Muridae
Description: oocyte_clustered_small_RNA7293
Source: RNAcentral